UUACGGGAGGCAGCAGUGGGGAAUCUUGGACAAUGGGCGCAAGCCUGAUCCAGCCAUGCCGCGUGAGUGAUGAAGGCCUUCGGGUUGUAAAACUCUUUUGGCGGGGACGAUAAUGACGGUACCCGCAGAAUAAGCUCCGGCUAACUUCGUGCCAGCAGCCGCGGUAAUACGAAGGGGGCUAGCGUUGUUCGGAAUUACUGGGCGUAAAGCGUGCGCAGGCGGCUUCUCAAGUCAGGGGUGAAAGCCCAGAGCUCAACUCUGGAAUUGCCUUUGAGACUGAGUGGCUUGAGUACGAGAGAGGUGAGUGGAAUUCCCAGUGUAGAGGUGAAAUUCGUAGAUAUUGGGAAGAACACCGGUGGCGAAGGCGGCUCACUGGCUCGUAACUGACGCUCAUGCACGACAGCGUGGGGAUCAAACAGGAUUAGAAACCCUUGUAGUCCG
RNAcentral lists this ribosomal RNA (441 nucleotides) under uncultured bacterium. Its description in RNAcentral is "bacterial SSU rRNA". It matches the Rfam family "Bacterial small subunit ribosomal RNA", at positions 339 to 797 of the family's 1533-position model. The record is from RNAcentral.